UUUCCCCUCAUAUAUCAGCCCUUUGAAACAGAGGAGAACUUGCUAUCUGCCUCAUUUUAGAAGGGUUUUAUUGACAGUGGAUAUUAUAGUUCAUCUUUUAAUGUAAAGGAAGAAAGAAAUGAAAUAUUUGCAAUGAUACUUUCCAGAUAAUACUGAAAUAUUUUGGACAGGUAUCCAUUAUCAGAUAAAUCCAAGUUCAUUUCUAACAUGGCACCAAGCAAGGAGUAGCUGUCGGCAGCAGAAUACAGAAUUAGUAAGCAUCAUGGAGAUUCAUGAUCAAGCAUUCCUGAAAGGAAAUCCUGUCCCAGCUCCUGAGAAGUUCUGUGCAGUGCUAAAUCCCAGAAAAGAAGCAAAGUGGGAAAACAUGGACUGUGAUUAUAAAUUUGGUUACAUCUGUAAAAAGGAAAACCCUACUCUAGAGUUCCCCAACCUCCCCACAGAGCCAACAGAAGAGUUGUGGAUUGGAUUGAAAACUUUGGUUGGUUGA
This 487-nucleotide long non-coding RNA is filed under the name Crocodylus porosus (Australian saltwater crocodile). RNAcentral's name for it is "lncRNA (ENSCPRG00005010521.1)". Lineage: Eukaryota; Metazoa; Chordata; Crocodylia; Crocodylidae. The record is from RNAcentral.